This 219-nucleotide long non-coding RNA is filed under the name Elaeis guineensis (African oil palm). RNAcentral describes it as "long non-coding RNA (EGUI_LNC006128)". Lineage: Eukaryota; Viridiplantae; Streptophyta; Magnoliopsida; Arecales; Arecaceae. The record is from RNAcentral.
CCGACCUUCGACAACAUCUCUCCGAACCUCUCUGGUAGCCGAGCCUUCGCAACACUCUCAAGUUUUGGCGACGGAUAAGCCCCCACCAGCAUCGGCCGGAUUCUUCACGACGGACGGACUCCACCCAAAUUUCCACGAUGAUCGACCACCUUCUAGACUUCGUCCGGACUCCUACGGGAGCCGGACUCCGCCCACGACUUCACUUGCAGGCAGACUUCG